This 1005-nucleotide long non-coding RNA is filed under the name Oryctolagus cuniculus (rabbit). RNAcentral describes it as "lncRNA (ENSOCUG00000038832.1)". The record is from RNAcentral. Lineage: Eukaryota; Metazoa; Chordata; Mammalia; Lagomorpha; Leporidae.
AUGCAGAGCUGGGAACCCCAGACAGAGCUGAACGGAGAAGAGGCAGAGCCGCCCUCUGGGGCUGACCUCACGGCUGGAGGGGGGUGGUCUCACGUGCCCCCCCCCCGGCAGAGGCUCCGGGGAAGCUUGGGGUGGCUCCCUGGGAGAAGGGGCGGAUGCAGCUCCCGCACGGCCCAGCCGCCCGCUCGCUCUCCUCUGUGCCAGGCCAGGAUGAGGCUGCCACCCCGGGCUGGAGGCAGGUGCAGCGCCCCGCGCCCCACCUGGGGAGGACGGGGAGUGUCGGGAGCAGACUCGGCUCUGCGUGAGGGGCGACGCAGCCCGGCCCUGGCCCCCGGUCCCGGCUUGGAUGCACUGUGCAUCCCUGUGGCCCAGCCCCUGCUCCCGGAGGUGGGUGGCACAACAGCCCCCGGCCCCUCAGAGAGGAGAAACCAGAGCUGCAGAGACACUGGGGCACAGGGUGAAGGGUUACCGCAGGCCCGGACUCCCGGCUACCUCCCAGCUUCCCGUAGCGGGACCGCCCCAGGUCUGCAGGCCCCGUGUGAGGCUCUGGAGCCUUGGACAGGUCAGAGGAGCCAUGGGGACACAGGGACACCCCCACCAAGCAGCCACACCCCCGCAAGUCCACGCCCCAGGCUGCAGCGGCCGGUGUGCGCGUACUGGGGGACCCUGCAGAAAGCGUUCACCCUCUCUGGCCUGUCUGCCCCCCCCAAUUCUGAGAGCAGGGCGCUUCGUGUGGGGUUUCUCGCAGGUGCUGAGGGGAGAAGGGCAGGGCACUGUGACCAGCAGGUGGAGUGGGUGCCAGGAUGUGCCCCACGGGCCAGAGGGUCACGGGGCCUUCCCUGGGUCCCUGUCUGUGUCCUGAGAGCCCCCAGAGGCCCCGAGCUGAGCAGGCUUUGUGGACUUGGGCCCAGCCCUUCGGUCCCAGAGCCGGCUCCCAUCCCUCUCCCAGCUGGUCUACUCGGACAGGCAACCAGGCUGCUCCUCGGGGCAGACCAGGUAGGGUAG